GAGCGUUGUUCGGAAUCACUGGGCGUAAAGGGCGUGUAGGCGGUCCGCUAAGUCUGGUGUGAAAGCCCGGGGCUCACCCCCGGAAGGGCAUUGGAAACUGGCGGACUCGAGUCCCGGAGAGGAAGGUGGAAUUCCUGGUGUAGCGGUGAAAUGCGUAGAUAUCAGGAGGAAUACCGGUGGCGAAGGCGGCUUACUGGUCCGGUGCUGACGCUGAGGCGCGAAGGCCAGGGGAGCAAACAGG
This 241-nucleotide ribosomal RNA is filed under the name uncultured bacterium. RNAcentral describes it as "partial 16S ribosomal RNA". It matches the Rfam family "Bacterial small subunit ribosomal RNA", at positions 536 to 776 of the family's 1533-position model. The record is from RNAcentral.